Molecule: non-coding RNA, 99 nt
Organism: Acanthosepion pharaonis
Lineage: Eukaryota; Metazoa; Mollusca; Cephalopoda; Sepiida; Sepiidae
Source: the annotation of a GenBank genome assembly
GUUGAAACACCAGUCCUUGUACAAUCAUCGAAGUUACGCAACGUUGAGCCUGGUCAGUACCUAGAUGGGUGACCUCUUGGGAAUAUCAGAUGCUGUAAG